This 69-nucleotide transfer RNA is filed under the name Ictidomys tridecemlineatus (thirteen-lined ground squirrel). RNAcentral's name for it is "Spermophilus tridecemlineatus (thirteen-lined ground squirrel) tRNA". It matches the Rfam family "tRNA". From Rfam's summary of the family: Transfer RNA (tRNA) molecules are approximately 80 nucleotides in length. Their secondary structure includes four short double-helical elements and three loops (D, anti-codon, and T loops). Further hydrogen bonds mediate the characteristic L-shaped molecular structure. tRNAs have two regions of fundamental functional importance: the anti-codon, which is responsible for specific mRNA codon recognition, and the 3' end, to which the tRNAs corresponding amino acid is attached (by aminoacyl-tRNA synthetases). tRNAs cope with the degeneracy of the genetic code in two manners: having more than one tRNA (with a specific anti-codon) for a particular amino acid; and 'wobble' base-pairing, i.e. permitting non-standard base-pairing at the 3rd anti-codon position. The record is from Rfam by way of RNAcentral. Lineage: Eukaryota; Metazoa; Chordata; Mammalia; Rodentia; Sciuridae.
GGAGUUGUGGCUCAGUGGUUGAGCACUUGCUUCGCAUGCGUGAGGCACUGGGUUCGAACCUCAGCACCA